This 5060-nucleotide long non-coding RNA is filed under the name Lupinus angustifolius (narrow-leaved blue lupine). Its description in RNAcentral is "long non-coding RNA (LANG_LNC001817)". The record is from RNAcentral. Lineage: Eukaryota; Viridiplantae; Streptophyta; Magnoliopsida; Fabales; Fabaceae.
UUCAAAAUCAUCUUCACAACACACAACAUCUCUUUCAUUUACACAUAUAUUGUGAGUGCAUUCUUGGUGAGAAUUCUUGUUCCAUUUGAGAGAGUAUUUGUGAGAAAAAUAUUGUCAUUUGUCCUCAUCAUUAUAAGAGGAUUUCUUGUACUCUUCUUUUUUACAUAGUGGAAUUUUGCUCUUGAUCGCCCGUGGUUUUUUUCCUCUCACACUGAGGGGUUUUUCCACGUUAAAUCUUGUGUGUUAUUUUCUUUAUCCUUUACUUGCUUCUCUUUUGUUCUCAAUUGAUUCAAUCCUGUGCUUCCGCAUUGUGCUCUAACCUUAACAAGUGGAAUCAGAGCUCUUACUAAAUUGAGAAUUUCAAAAUGUCUGCAAAAUUUGACAUUGAGAAGUUUGAUGGCAAAAUUAGCUUUUCUAUUUGGCGAGUCCAAAUGAGGGCCGUUCUUAUCCAGAGCGGAUUAAAGAAAGCUUUAGAUGGGAAGUCAAAGAAACCAGUUUCCAUGACCGAUGAUCAAUGGGACGAGUUGGAUGAAAAGGCGCUUUCAACAAUUCAACUUUGUUUGUCGAAGGAGGUUCUUCGUGAGGUUGCCAAUGAAGAAACCGCUGCGGCUUUGUGGCUGAAGUUAGAAACUUUAUACAUGACCAAGAGCCUCGCAAACAAGCUUCGUCUCAAAGAACGGUUAUACACCAUUCGUAUGGUUGAAGGUACUCCUAUUCAAACUCAUCUUGAUGAGUUUAAUUCUAUUAUUAUGGAUAUGCAAAAUAUUGAUAUUAAUAUUGAAGAUGAAGACAAAGCUGUUUUGUUGGUUGUCUCUUUACCUUCUACCUAUAAGCACUUCAAAGAAAUCAUGUUGUAUGGAAAUAAUGAUACCUUAUCCUUUGAAGAUGUUAAAUCUAAUUUAUUGUCCAAAGAAAAAUUUGAUCUUGAAGUUAAUUCUGUGGACAAGGGUGAGGGCUUAAGUGUUCGAGGUAGAACUCAAGAAAAAGGGAGUACCAAUUAUAAAAAGUUCAGAUCCAAAUCCAGAGGUCGCAAAUCCAACAAAACUUGUCGCUAUUGCAAGAAACCGGGGCAUGACAUUCCUGAUUGUUUUAUCUUAAAGAAAAAACAAGAAAAACAAGAUAAGGGAAAAUUUCAACAAUCCUCUGAAGCUGCUAAUAUUGAAGCCAAUUCUGACGGUGAUAUUCUUUUAUCUGUUGUCUCUUAUAAUAAUAGGAGUAAAACAGAAUGGAUUCUUGAUUCUGGAUGUACUUUUCAUAUGUGUCCUUAUAAGGACUUAUUCACCACUUUUGAACAUGUUGACAGUGGUGUUGUUUUGAUGGGCAAUGAUACCCAAUGCAAAGUUGCAGGAAUAGGUACUAUUCAGAUCAAGGCUCAUGACGGUGUUGUCAGAACCUUGGCUAAUGUCCGCUAUAUUCCAGAUUUGAAGCGGAACUUAAUUUCUCUUGGCACCCUAGAGUCUCUCGGGUGUAGGUAUUCAGCUGAAGGUGGAGUUCUAAAGGUAUUGAAAGGUGCUAUGGUAUUAUUGAAAGCUAACCGGAUUGGUAGUUUAUAUGUCUUGCAAGGUUCUGUUGUGACAGGUUCAACAGCUGUAUCUUCUUCAAUGCAUGAUAAUGACAUUACCAAAUUAUGGCACAUGCGCCUGGGCCAUAUGAGUGAAAAAGGUAUGCACCUUCUAAGCAAACAAGGUCAUCUUGGUAAACAUGGCAUUGGUAAAUUGGAUUUUUGUAAACAUUGUGUUUUUGGGAAACAGAAAAAGGUUAGUUUCUCCACUGCAACUCACCGUACCAAAGGUAUUCUUGAUUAUAUUCAUUCUGACCUUUGGGGGCCUUCUAAAUUUCCUUCUCAUGGAGGAUGUCGCUAUAUGAUGACCAUCAUUGAUGAUUUUUCUCGCAAAGUUUGGGUUUAUUUUCUGCAGCAUAAAAAUGAGACUUUCUCCACUUUCAAGAAGUGGAAAACUCUUGUUGAAACCCAGACAGGGAAGAAAGUGAAGAAGCUUAGAACAGACAAUGGAUUAGAGUUCUGCAAUGGUGAUUUUAAUGAGUUCUGCACAAAAAAUGGUAUUGCUAGACACAAAACUAUUCCAAGAAAUCCUCAACAAAAUGGUGUUGCAGAACGGAUGAACAGGACUCUACUUGAGAGAGUUCGUUGUAUGCUCUCAAAUGCUGGGUUAUGGCAUCGGCGUGAAUUUUGGGCUGAAGCAGCAUCUACUGCUUGUUACCUGGUUAAUCGUUCUCCACAUUCAGCACUUGAUUUCAAAAUCCCAGAAGAAAUUUGGUCAGGUAAUCCUGUUGAUUAUUCUAACUUAAGAAUCUUUGGAUGUCCUGCUUAUGCACAUGUUAAUGAUGGUAAAUUAGCUCCAAGAGCUGUUGAGUGCAUAUUUCUUGGUUAUGCAUCUGAGUCUAAAGGAUAUCGCUUAUGGUAUUCUGAUGCAAAGUCACGGAAAUUAAUUCUUAGCAGAGAUGUGACUUUUAAUGAGGAUGCUUUUUUAUCUUUUGGAAAACAAUCUAUUGUGUCUUCUUCUACUAGUACAUGUAAUCUGCAGGGUACUAGCGAGAAGGUGGAGUUGAUAGUGAAACAUACAGUUCCUAAUGUUGAUAAUCCAUCUUCCUCUACAUAUCAAUCUAGCAUUGAUGAUCAUUAUGUUGAUUGUGAUGACAGUACAACUUCUCCUAUUCAUCAGCAAGAAGAUGAUUAUUGUAUUGCUCGAGACAGAACCAGAAGACUAAUUAAAAGGCCAGCUAGAUACACUGAUGGUGAUAAUUUAAUUGCUUAUGCAUUGUCAGUUGCACAAGAGGUAAAUGAUGAUGUUGAACCUGCCAGCUAUACAGAAGCUGUUUCUUGUGUUGAUUCGUCACAGUGGCUAGUGGCUAUGAAUGAAGAGAUUGAAAGUCUUCAUAAGAAUGGUACUUGGGCUUUGACAGAGCUUCCCGAAGGCAAACGACCAUUACGAUGUAAAUGGAUCUAUAAGAAGAAAGACGGUAUUCCCGGGGUUGAAGAUCCAAGAUGCAAAGCACGACUAGUUGUUAAAGGUUUUAAUCAAAAGGAAGGUAUUGACUUUAAUGAGAUAUUCUCACCUGUUGUUCGUCAUACUUCUAUACGUGUUUUGCUUGCUUUUGUUGCUUUAUUUGAUUUGGAGUUGGAGCAACUUGAUGUAAAGACAGCUUUUCUACAUGGAGAGCUGGAAGAAGAAAUUUACAUGGAACAACCUGAAGGAUUUAUUGUUCCUGAUAAGGAGCAUCUUGUCUGUCGAUUGAAGAAAUCAUUAUAUGGCCUUAAGCAAGCUCCCAGACAAUGGUACAUGAGGUUUGAUUCUUUUAUGAUUGGGCAAGGUUAUUGCAGGAGUCAAUUUGAUGACUGUAUUUAUUUCCAGAAAUUUCCAAAUGAAUCAUUCAUAUACUUGUUACUGUAUGUUGAUGAUAUGCUAAUUCCUUCACGUGACAAGUCUUUGAUUCGAAAAUUGAAAAUUCAACUCAAUAAUGAGUUUGAGAUGAAAGAAUUAGGUGCAGCCAAGAAAAUUCUUGGUAUGGAGAUUCACAGGGAUCGUCAAGCUGGUAAAUUGUUUUUAUCCCAAGAGAAAUAUAUUGAAAGAGUGCUUGAAAGGUUUAAUAUGAAUAAUUGUAAACCUGUUUCUACUCCACUUGCUGCACAUUUCAAGUUAUCUUUAGAUCUUUGCCCACAUACAGAGGAAGAGAUGGAGCGUAUGUCACAUAUUCCUUAUGCUAGUGCAGUUGGUAGUCUUAUGUAUGCUAUGGUGUGCACUAGACCUGAUUUAGCAUAUGCUGUUAGCAUGGUAAGUCGAUAUAUGCAUAAUCCUGGAAAGGAUCAUUGGAGUGCUGUAAAAUGGAUUUUUCGGUAUCUAAAAGGUACUUCUGGUAUUGGCUUGGUAUUUGACUGAAACAAGGCUACAACUGAUGACGUCGUAGGUUAUGUUGAUUCGGAUUAUGGUGGCAAAAAAACUAUUAUUCUAUCAUUUAUAUCUAUUAGUUUUAUUUUAGUCAAAGAUUAUUAAUACAAGAAUAAUGAAUAAUGAAUAAUAUAGUAAUAACAUACAAAAUUAUUGGGCAUAAAUAAUUAAAUAGUAAACUUGUUGUUAAAACUGUUUCAUACCGGCCAAUUCAACCGGAAAAUCAAUAAAUUGGUCUCAAUACUGAUAUGGUACAAUAAUUAUACCAGUCAUGUAAUCAUACCGGUCAAAACUGUCUAAAGUCGGUCAAAACUGGUUAUAUCAGUCGGUUUUCAAUAUAACCGUACCGGUCAUACUGACCAGUUUUUAUUUAAAAUUAUUUUUUAAUGAAAUUAAAAAUAUAUAUUAGUUUUUUAUGAUUUUUCAACAUUAAUGUUAAUAUAUUAUGUAUGUAUAUCUAAUUUCGCCUGUAUACGGUUAACGAACCACCGGUUGAACCACUAUACCACUAUACUAAUAUCCUAAAUGAUUUUGUUAGAUGCCUCUCAUUACUAUGCCUUAAAAGAAUUUUAUGACAAUUUUAUGCUCUCUUUAAGGGCAUUUUAUGUCACUUUUAUGGCUUUGUUUCCAAGCAUCCAAUGCUUCAUAUCCAAGAUACCAAGACUUUGCUUGCCUAUAAAAGGACACAUAUAGAGAGCUUCAAAAUCAUCUUCACAACCAACAUCUCUUUCAUUUACACAUAUAUUGUGAGUGCAUUCUUGGUCCAUUUGAGAGAGUAUUUGUGAGAAAAAAUAUUGGUAUUUGUCCUCAUCAUUAUAAGAGGAUUUCUUGUACUAUUCUUUUUUACAUAGUGGAAUUUUGCUCUUGAUCGCCCGUGGUUUUUUUCCUCUCACACUGAGGGGUUUUUCCACGUUAAAUCUUGUGUGUUAUUUUCUUUAUCCUUUACUUGCUUCUCUUUUGUUCUCAAUCGAUUCAAUCCUGUGCUUCCGCAUUGUGCUCUAUCCUUAACAGUGUUAGUGUAAUUUACUCAAAUUUAAAAGAAUGAAAGUGAUUUAAUUAUAAUAGAGGAUGUUCAAAAUUUGAAUUUGUCUUCCUAAUAUACCAUAUUUUGUUUGACUUUUGCCACUAUUUUUGUUUACGAAAUUACAAUUAUCU